Molecule: long non-coding RNA, 1867 nt
Organism: Daphnia carinata
Lineage: Eukaryota; Metazoa; Arthropoda; Branchiopoda; Diplostraca; Daphniidae
Exons: 5
Source: RefSeq, a predicted model, not a curated record
AUUUUGGAAAUAAUAUUGAUAAGAUGAGUCAAUGGUGCUGCACAAAGUCGGAAGACGAACGUCAAAUUAACGAACUGAUGUAAUACUAUUUGUUUCUCUGUAGGGAAUCCGUCGUGUUUGUAUGUGUUCGGCUACAUUCCUAGAUGAAGUACAAGCGCUGGCUGCGGCGUACAUGGAAGACUACAUAUUCGUCACAACAGGCAUUGUCGGUGGCACCAAUCCGGAUGUUGAACAGCUGUUUUUCAGUGCUCGAAAAGAGAUAAGAGAGCUAAGCUGAUCGAAGUUUUACAAGAUCUCGGUGAUGCCAAGACUAUCGUUUUUGUCGACAACAAAAAGACGGCGGAUUUCGUCGCUACAUUUUUCUGCAAUAACAACUUACAAGUAAGAAUUAAACCUGUUGUAAAUUGGGCAAGGUGUCUUAACUUUAAAUAGAAGGUAUGGGUAUGGCAAUCCGUUUUACCCAAAAUCAAAAAAAAUAUCAGUCUUUUUUUCUGUUUCACUGCUCUCGCCACCUCCCGGUCAGAUUUCUAGGUAAUUCUCUACAUACACUCACCGAAUUUUUCUGCUGCAUCGCGCUAGCGCUGUAACGUACUUUGCGUCGUCAGGAUAUUUCGUCAUAUUGUGGUUUCACCCCAUCUAUCAUUUGUACCAAUUGUAGAUAUUUUCCCUAACAAGUCUUCAUGUUUACAUUCUUGCCAGUGGUGCUGAUACUUUUUUUUAUCACAACCACUUGUUUCAGCUGUUCCUAGUAUUGAAGUAUUACUUAUGCAAGUACUUAGAGAGGGCUGCCCGUUACAAAAGAAGAGCUUAUCACGAUGAUGUGAUGGUAUCUUUGCAAAACUGGAAAAAAUUCUGUGCUGUGGGGGCCUUAAGUAUGUGCUCAAAAUUUUGAAAAAUGCGAACUGCAAAAACAGUUGAUCAGAAUUUCGAACGUCAAAAGUACUUAUUUCUGGAAAAUCAGUUAAUCUACAUCCUGAUUUUCUGCUGUUUCAUCAGUCACUAUGCAGUGUGUUUGGACAACGGAAGCAUUCUUGAAUCAGACUGCUUCAGUUUAUAUCGAAGAUGUAUUGCUUGUCAUGCCCGGUGACCAACUUCACAGGACUAUGUUCAAAUUUAGAUUACAUGCCUAGCAUGAAAGAGAUCAAGUAUAUUACCGAAAUUCGCUAUCUCAAUUCGCGAAUUCCGAACUCAUCUUCAGUCUGUCAUUCUGAUGCAGGGGUCCUGAAAGAAGUUGGAACGUUUUGAACCGUCUCAGCCAAUAAGUAUUAGAAAAUGGAAGUCGCUUAAUGAUGAGUUUCUUCGCUGCCCGUCAACUUACCAUCCAAGCAAGCACUGUCUGUCAAACCAUUAGCCGAAUACAAUUAAUACCAGUAGUUCACCAAAACAAGAGGUUAAGAAUCAUACUGAAUCAAAAGAGGUAUCCAGUCGAACCAAAUUUCAUAAUAACGGUUGGAAGCCCGAAGGAAUUUUUGAAAAAUGCUUCCUGCCCAUUAUCUUCAGUCGUUGCUGCAGCCCGAAAACAAAGUAUUAAAAGUUAUAUAAAUUGAAGUGCAUAUCUGGGCUCCCUUCUUUUCUGUGGCCCCGUUUCCCUUAAAUUUUUAAUAAGCCCGUAGGGGGUCAUGCCCCUACUGUGAUCAGCAGUAAACGGUUGUGAGUGCGCUGUCCGGAAAGGGGACGUGGGGGUCCCCAUGGUUCGAUGAUAUCAUUGGAGGGCUGUGGGGCUGCCCAAAAAUCCGAAUUAACGGUUAAUCGCUCACGUAAAAGCUUGUCCGCGACCUUCGCUCUUCUUCCGGCUUCUCUUAGCCACGCACCGGGUAAUCUCCCCGGUGAGUCAACUGAGGUAGUGUCUCCCCCUACCUUGGUUGAC